RNAcentral lists this ribosomal RNA (383 nucleotides) under uncultured eukaryote. Its description in RNAcentral is "partial 18S ribosomal RNA". It matches the Rfam family "Eukaryotic small subunit ribosomal RNA", at positions 592 to 976 of the family's 1831-position model. The record is from RNAcentral.
CAAUAGCGUAUAUUAAAGUUGUUGCAGUUAAAAAGCUCGUAGUUGGAUUUCUGGUAGGAGCGACCGUGCCGAACUUGAUUGUUCGAGUAUUGUGUUGUCUUCAGCCAUCCUCGUGGAGAACUUUUCUAACAUUAACUUGUUGGGAUUGGGACCCGCGUCGUUUACUGUGAAAAAAUUAGAGUGUUUAAAGCAGGCAUUAGCUUGAAUACAUUAGCAUGGAAUAAUAAGAUAGGACUUUGGUACUAUUUUGUUGGUUUGCAUACCAAAUUAAUGAUCAACAGGAACAGUUUGAGGAUAUUCGUAUUAACAUGUCAGAGGUGAAAUUCUUGGAUUUUGAUCAGACGAACUACUGCGAAAGCAUUUAUCAAGGAUGUUUUCAUUAA